CCGGGGAGGGUGGAAAUCUCAGGGUUUCUCCUGCAAACCCUCCUGUCCCCCCCCCCCACAGCUGCCCGGGACCUGGCUGUACGUGGCAGGGGCUGCCCAGUUCCCCCAGCACCAGGUGGAGAUGCUGCUCAUCGACCACGCCUUGCUGCGCCUGGAGCCGGGGCCCGGCGGGCAGGAGCUGCUCAUCAGCCACUUUGUGGCCGUCGGGGACCAAUGUUAUACCCACAACCUGACCUACCUGGAGGUCACUGCCGGUAACGCCUCCCUGGUGAAGAACGGAGGUGUGUCAAGUGAAAGCAGCCGAAGGCAGCAGCAGCCCCCACCCAGAGCCCGGGGCUGCAGCCACAGCAUCCCCUGCCCCAGGCACCCCCCGGCCUGGCAGUGCAGGGAACUGACCCACACAGGCCAAUAAACCUUUCCUUCAAAGUAAACACUGUUUGGUGUCAAUUGUUUGAGAGAAAAGGGUUCUGAAGAUUUGCAAAAAGAGAGCAAACAGCCAAUUCACCUUGUGUGUCAUCCAGCCCUGAGCUGGGAGAG
RNAcentral lists this long non-coding RNA (537 nucleotides) under Zonotrichia albicollis (white-throated sparrow). RNAcentral describes it as "lncRNA (ENSZALG00000001236.1)". The record is from RNAcentral. Lineage: Eukaryota; Metazoa; Chordata; Aves; Passeriformes; Passerellidae.